UUCUUUGCUGAUCAUAACACUUGUGGUAUUCAUUGAAUUAAAGUGCUGAAAUGUAGAAAGCUGAAGUGCCCAACAACAUGGAAGCCAACGUCUCAUUUGCUCUGGCAGAAGUUAUAUGGUUGUUCCUGGAUGAUACAUGGCAAGGUUUUGCCUUUGGCUUGCUUUGUUGGUCUUGCAUGCCUUCUUGCUGAGGUCCUAUUGAUCGAGUGAGGCCUACUUUUCUAAAAGGAUGCCCACCUCCCAUUUGCUUUUUCUCAAAUUCUUAAUGAAAGACUGCCGAACAUCAUGUUGGCAUUGUCUGAUGCUUCUAAAUCUAUGAAUUUAUAGGUUGUUUGACCUCU
Molecule: long non-coding RNA, 341 nt
Filed under: Elaeis guineensis (African oil palm)
Lineage: Eukaryota; Viridiplantae; Streptophyta; Magnoliopsida; Arecales; Arecaceae
Description: long non-coding RNA (EGUI_LNC026952)
Source: RNAcentral